Long non-coding RNA from Mirounga angustirostris (Northern elephant seal), 965 nucleotides. RefSeq lists it as uncharacterized. Lineage: Eukaryota; Metazoa; Chordata; Mammalia; Carnivora; Phocidae. The transcript has 2 exons. The record is from RefSeq and is a predicted model, not a curated record.
GGAGAAGGGGCAGCCUUUUUAUGCCAAAACAGGAAAGAAUGAAGACGGUCAGCGUGGAGAAUCCUGAAGGGAAUAGUUCGAUUUUCAGUGGGUUCUGACGCUCUGGAGACGUCACCACGAUGUAGCAUCUGCGAUGUGGUGGCAUCAUCACGGAGCGCCACGGGCGGUGGGGUUCUGGCCACGUGACGGGACCCAGUAGCGCUGCCAGGGGUUAAAGCGUCUGCCAGGCUCCCCGGUCUUCCGCCGCAAUUGUGGCUCCCCCUUUGUUCCUUGACUGUUGAAUUGCUUCUGCGGUACCGUCGUCCCUUCACCGAACAUUCUGCAACUCUCUAAUUCUAACCCAGAUUAUUUUAGCCUUGGGCACCCUUAAAACGUCUGCAACAGGAUUGGGAACAAACAGUAAUCUCUGGGAAAUCAAAUAACCCUCACUCAGCUUUAUCGCCCGAGGCAACGAUUAGAAGUCUGAGAAGGAAAAAAGCUACUAGAAAAAUGCAGGCUGGCCAUUGUCAUGGUGAAGAAGCUUCUGGAGUGCAGUACAAAAAUAGACAAACUGCAAUUACUUAUAAGAUGCAUGAAUGUCACGGACCUGACGUUAAGGGAAAGAAGCCAGAUAGAGUUUACAUCGUUUGGUUUUAUUGAAAUGAAGUGUAAAACCAGCAAAAGUCAUUAGUUAUGGUGUUAAAAAUCAGGAUAGUCUUUCCUUGGAUGGGGAGGACAAUGACAAACCACAAGGAGGCUUUUGAGGUUUAUAUAAUGUCCUAUGUCUUGAUUUGGAUGUUGGUUGCAGGUAUGUUCCCUUUGUAGAAAUUUCAUGGAGCUAUACACUGGAGUGCAAUUUUUUUUUUUUUGUAUGUUACACUUAGCUAAAAGUUAUAUUUAAGUAGGCAGGAAUUUUCCCAAGAAGAUGAAAUGUUACACUGAUACAAUUGUCAAAAUUGAUAGAAUGAACUCCUAAGUUCUGUGCA